RNAcentral lists this ribosomal RNA (465 nucleotides) under uncultured bacterium. RNAcentral describes it as "partial 16S ribosomal RNA". It matches the Rfam family "Bacterial small subunit ribosomal RNA", at positions 29 to 523 of the family's 1533-position model. The record is from RNAcentral.
AACGAACGCUGGCGGCAUGCCUAAUACAUGCAAGUCGAACGGAAUGGGGCAACCCAUUUAGUGGCGGACGGGUGAGUAACGCGUGGGAACCUGCCCAUCGGUACGGAAUAACCUCGGGAAACUGAGGCUAAUACCGUAUGCGCCCCCCAGGGUACCUUGGGGGGGAAAGAUUUAUCGCCGGUGGAGGGGCCCGCGUCGGAUUAGGUAGUUGGUAAGGUAACGGCUCACCAAGCCUUCGAUCCGUAGCUGGUCUGAGAGGAUGAUCAGCCACACUGGGACUGAGACACGGCCCAGACUCCUACGGGAGGCAGCAGUAGGGAAUAUUGGACAAUGGGGGCAACCCUGAUCCAGCAAUGCCGCGUGAGUGAUGAAGGCCUUAGGGUUGUAAAGCUCUUUUGGCAGGGACGAUGAUGACGGUACCUGCAGAAUAAGCCCCGGCUAACUUCGUGCCAGCCGCCGCGGUAA